Molecule: non-coding RNA, 392 nt
Organism: Sphaeramia orbicularis (orbiculate cardinalfish)
Lineage: Eukaryota; Metazoa; Chordata; Actinopteri; Kurtiformes; Apogonidae
Source: the annotation of a RefSeq genome assembly
ACACAAGACACAACAACUGAUCUAUUCAACACAGUUCAAUCUACAAACCAGGAACAUUCCCUUGAUUCAACAUGCUGGACCUGGAUUACUGGAUGGUUUAUCUCCAUCUACUGGUUGUUCUCACAGGUGUCGACAGUGAAGAACUGAGUCCAGUCGAGAAUGAAGAGUCCAGUUUAGAAGGAAACUCUGUUACUCUCACAUAUAAAUACUCUAAAACUUUGGCAAUCAAUGAUUAUUUCUUCUGGUAUCGACAAUAUCCAGGAAAGCCACCAGAGCUCCUCAUCUCACACUCAUCCUCAGGAUCAAAAGGAAUUGAAAAUGUUUCUGGACUGAAGAUUAAUGUGGAGAAAAACCUCAUCUCUAUGAGCAUCUCCUCUGCUGCAGUGUCAGAC